Molecule: ribosomal RNA, 472 nt
Filed under: uncultured Anaerolineaceae bacterium
Lineage: Bacteria; Bacillati; Chloroflexota; Anaerolineae; Anaerolineales; Anaerolineaceae
Description: bacterial SSU rRNA
Rfam family: Bacterial small subunit ribosomal RNA
Source: RNAcentral
GAAACUCAAAGGAAUUGACGGGGACCCGCACAAGCAGCGGAGCGUGUGGUUUAAUUCGUUGCUACACGAAGAACCUUACCUGGGUUUGACAUAUAGGUUGUAGGGAACUGAAAAGGGACCGACCCUUCGGGGAGCCUAUACAGGUGUUGCAUGGCUGUCGUCAGCUCGUGUCGUGAGAUGUUCGGUUAAGUCCGCUAACGAGCGCAACCCUCGUCGUAUGUUAUAUGUGUCAUACGAGACUGCCGGUAAAAGCCGGAGGAAGGUGAGGAUGAUGUCAAGUCAGCAUGACCUUUAUAUCCAGGGCUACACACACGCUACAAUGGUCUGUACAAUGGGUAGCCAAGCCGCGAGGCGGAGCCAAUCCUGAAAGCAGGCCUCAGUUCAGAUUGCAGGCUGCAACUCGCCUGCAUGAAGUUGGAGUUGCUAGUAAACGCAGGUCAGCUAUACUGCGGUGAAUACGUUCCCGGGGCUU